UUCAAUCAUCAUAAUUGAAAAAAAAAACCCCAAUAUUACACAAUCUAGUUCAUGUAAACCACCAUCUCGAUAAAAGAACUAGUUCUUCUGAACACUAAACCAACAAUAUUACAAGAACGAAUUCAAAGAAAUUAAUUCAUCGAAAUCAAAAGAUAAAAUUUGUCGAAAUCAAAAUCAAAAGGAAUCCAAAUGAAUCAGAACAAGACAGAUUAGUACACCCACAAAUCAAAACAAAAAACUAUCGACAAACAAACAUGUUAAUGAACAACUCGUACUCGGAAACUGCUUUUGUCGCCGGCAGCCACUCAAAUCCACCACGGCUGGACCUAGAUUGAAAAUUAGGGUAGGAUAAUUACAUGAAUAAGUGUAGAGAAAUCGAGUUUUAAUAUAACCGUACAAAUCAAACCUGACGACCUGUACUCCAGCUGACCGCCGACGAGUAAAGAAGCACUCACUACCGAUGCCGUUUCAACCUCCCGUAGUUGCAACCUAUCGCAGACACAAAAAUAGGCCACAAAACAAAAACUAUUUCAAUUAAAUAACAAAAAUAAGUAUCCACUCACCGCCGAACUCGCCAUCGGUAUUGAAACAACCUCAUGGCGACGAAAUCACUGUGGGAGUGAUGAACUCGGCCGGAAAACUACUGCUUUUUUGGCCUCAUGAUGAUUUGGGGUAGAGGGAGACCAAUUUUGAGAAAAACGGCAGAAUUGGUGAAUGAAGGAGAAUGGUAGGGUUAUACGGUUUUGAAAUCUAUUUAAUAUAAUUAAUAUUAGCCAUUAGAUAUAUUUUGCUAAAAUCCAACGGUUACUAUGCAAUUAUCUAGAUAUAUAGGUAAUCCCCGUACUGGUUUAUUACCCUUGAAGUUGUUGAAUAUGAAUUGCUUUAAUUGCUUGGUUAUUGUUAAGUAAUGGAAGCUUAAAUGAGUUGUUG
This 930-nucleotide long non-coding RNA is filed under the name Linum usitatissimum (flax). Its description in RNAcentral is "long non-coding RNA (LUSI_LNC007670)". The record is from RNAcentral. Lineage: Eukaryota; Viridiplantae; Streptophyta; Magnoliopsida; Malpighiales; Linaceae.